Molecule: RNA transcript, 3975 nt
Organism: Oncorhynchus kisutch (coho salmon)
Lineage: Eukaryota; Metazoa; Chordata; Actinopteri; Salmoniformes; Salmonidae
Gene name: SAYSvFN domain-containing protein 1
Exons: 3
Source: RefSeq, a predicted model, not a curated record
CCUGGCUGAACAGGAAAGGAAACAAACUAAAGUGAAACAGAUUUACAAUAUUUCAUACUUCCUGUAACAGUGAAACAUUGAAUUCGAGCAUUACCAUGAAAACACAUUUUAGACAAUAUUUCCGCGGUUGAGAAGACGGGAUUUCACAGGAAAAAUCAUGUUGGAACUGCUCAAAAUCUAGCUAUCCAAGGCAGUAGCCAGUAACUUUAUUUCCUAAUUGUCGUGCACAUGUUGCCGCGCAGUCUUUCAUUGCCGCAUGACUCAAGAGUGGAUUACAAUAUGGAGCAAAAGCUUUCAGAGUUCAGAGCUCGAAGAAGGGCUGAUGUGGCUCCUAAGAAGAGCGAAAAGCAGCCCAUAACAUCAUCUGACAGUGGCAGCACUUUGAUCUCGGCCAACUGCCAGUCAUCAACAGCUGAUGCAGACACACAGGAGUUUACAGAAGAUCCAAUUUCUGCUGUCGCUCAGGCUACAAGGACUAAACAUUGGGGGGAUGGCUGGUUGCUGGAGAGCAAUCUGGGUCAAUGGCUUGGUUCGAAACGACUGGCUUUCACAAAUCUGAUUUUGCUGAAGGUGUUGCUUUGGCUGGUUCUACUUGGGCUGUUUGCCGAACUGGAAUUUGGGUUGCCUUUCUUCCUUAUCUCUCUCUUCUACUGGCUGUACGAGGGGCUGCGGAGCCCAACUGCACGUCAACCAGGAGAACUGAGCGCUUAUUCAGUGUUCAACCCAGACUGUCAGCCUCUCCUGGGGGCACUUACUGCAGAGCAGCUAGAGGGAGAGAUGGGCUACAGACCACUGGCCAACAGAUGAGACCCUCAAACAACUGACUUUAUUCUGACAUUUAAUAGCUACUGUACUUUAAGAUUUCCACUGUAAUAAAAAUGAACUGGAAAUGUAUUUAUUUGAAUGGUGCACAUUGCUGAUGUUGAUUUUGAAGUCAAAUGUAGCCUAUUCCAAACUACAAGAUCUUCAACACUGCCACACAUUGAUGAUGCUGUGAAUGCACCAACAUCUACUUGUUAAUUCCAUUAAAAUGGGUGUACUUGAAACUUAGAACAUAUUACUGUACUUUGAACACACACACACAGAGAGAGAAGGUUGACAGUGUCUGAAAUAUUUUAGAAAAAUAUACUUUUUAAUAUAUCUGACAGUGCUCAGUUUCCUUGCGCUUUACGACACGACAGAUGUUAUUGGCCCUUCGUUUGGGACUUCCAAACGGUACAAGUUGACAUCGACAAGCGGGCAGAGUGGCCCACGUUUUGCGAGCAUGGCGAGGCCAGAGAUUGGCAGACUAGUAAAUUGGGCUAAGGAACAGAAGGUGGGUAUUGGAAAAAGGCCAGCAGUGCAUGUUCUACGAGCCCAUAUAGCGGAUGAAAGCACGGCGUGAGCGUGGUGAACGAAUAGACGUGGUUAUGGACAGCGAUGAAGAAGGAGAAGAGCAGAGUGCAGUGGGAAGAUGUGUGUUGGGGAAAGCGUAUUCUGAUGGCUCAGAAAUUGAACCUGAUGAGAGUGAAGAGGAAUUACCUGUGGUGGCAGGUGUGGUGAAGACCUCAAGAGUCCAAGCCUCGCCCCAAUGGUCACGCAAAGGAUGAUUUGGGCCCAGUGAGAGUCACAAUUUUGGAGAAAGUUGAUCUCUGCCUUAUGGAUCAGCCAAGCCAAAUGUAGUCUCAGGCUGGGUAUAAAAUAAGUUGUUAAAUCUGUGAAGGUAGCUCAGAGAGAUCAUUUUCUGUGUUUCUUCUGUCCAGAGGGAGCAGGUGUUUCGUGUCGGGUUUAGGGACAAGACCUGUGACUUGCUUUACUCUGGAGCAGGGCACCUUUGAAAGGAGUGAUUACUGGGGUGGCAUUGUGUUGAGGUGGAGCAACUAACAUGAAAGAUCCCCUUAGUCAGUGACACCGCCGUUUGGUGGUGAAACUGAGAAGACAAUGUCUGUCAGUUUGAGUUUUGAAGCAGAAUCUAAAAUUAGGAUAUGUCAGUUAUCCAGUGAGAGCUUUUGUGUCGCACCCACUAAGGUGUUUCAGAUGCCAUGCUUUUGGUCAUGUUGCAGCUCUGUAUAGGAGGGAGAUUCCGGGAUGUGAGAAGUGCGCAAGAGGGCAUGGGACAAAGGAAUGUGUAGUAUCCGUGGGAAAAAAUGUCAAUUGUAGGGGUGCCCAUGUUGCUGGGGAUCAGAAGUGCACGGAGUGACAGGUUGAGGUUACCAGGGUCAAAGGUUGCCAGGCUCAGAGUAGAACAGAAGGUGUCGUAUGCUGAGGCAGUGAAGAGAGUAGAAGAUGAUGGGUCAAGGGUGAGUACUAGGCCAAUACAGAGUCAUACGAAUUUGUGCUUCAGUAAGGUAGGCUUCUUAGCAGUCAUUGCCAUGGUUAUCAACUGUACCGCAGAAAUGGAACGUAAAUCACAGAAAAUAGAUGUUGUGCUGGCAGUUGCUGAGAAGUACUUGGGUGUACAAGGUUUUACUGCAGAAGAGUUAAGGUGUGUUGAGAGAAAGAGUCCGAUCCUCCCAGGCGUCAGCCUGGUGUAGGAACAGUGGUUCAAAGUAGUGGAAUGGGGUGGUGAUGAAUUAUUUUUAUGAAAGUGGUAUAUAGCUGUAGGGUUAGUUGGUGGUGCAAUUUUUUCCUUUUCCCCCUUCCUUGUAAUUUUGUAUCACAAAAUGUGACGAGAUCGACCACACACUACUGUACAGUAGGUGGCGGCAUGCACAAACAUCAUGUGCAAACGCCAUGAUACCAAAAUAGAAGAAGACAACAACGAUGAUGAUGAUGAUGAUGAUGAUGAUGAAGAAGACUGACGUCAUCACGUACGCCCGAACAGGAACAGGAAGUAAACAUACCAAAGUAGAACAGAUUUUAAGAUAUCGCAUCUGCGAAUGUGUCAUACCACUCUUUGUGGCAGUGAAUCGUUGAAUCACCUCAGUGCAUUGAAAGCAUCUUAUAUAACAUUUCUGCUAUUCAGAAGGCGGGAUUUCGCACGAUCGCGAGGCAAUCUGCUACGUAGACCUCUCAACAAUUCAUCAAGCUAGAUGGCUAGCUAGUUUUUUUUUUUUUACCAGGGAUUGAUACGCGCCGUGCACAGCGCGCACAUUGCAUAGAUUGCCACGCACUCUAUAAUUUCUGCAUGAGCAUGAGUCAGAAGUUGUUAACAUUCGCAAAAGCUUGUAGAGUUCAGAGCCCUGUACAAGGGCUAGUGAAAUGCAGCCCAUAACGUCACCUGGCAACGGCAACACUUUGAAGUCAGCCGGUUGGGAGUCAACAGCUGAUACAGACGCACUGGAGUUGACAAAACAUCCGAUGUCUGCUGUCCCUCAGGCUACAGGGACUUUACAAUGGGGGGAUGACUGUCUGCUGGACUGCAUUCUUGGUCGGAGGCUUGGUUCAAGACGACUUGGUUUUGCAAACCGGACUUUGCUGAAGGUGUUGCUUUGGCUGGUUUUGCUUGGGGUGUUUGCUGAGCUUGGCUUUGGGUUGCCUUUCUUCCUAAUCUCCCUCUUCUACUGGCUCUACCAGGGCCUGCGGAGUCCAACUAAACUUCAACCUGGAGAACUGAGCGCUUACUCAGUGUUCAACCCAGACUGUCAGCCUCUCAUUGGCACUCUCACAACAGAGCAGUUGGACUGUGAAAUGGGAAUACUACAGCUAACCAUGUAAAGCAGUGUUUCCCAACUCCAUUCCUCCAGUACCCCCAACAGCACACAUUUGUUGUAGCCCUGUACAAGCACACUUGAUUCAACUUGUCAACUAAUCAUCAAGCCCUCAAUGAGUUGGAUCAGGUGAGUUUGUCUGACUACAACAAAAAUGUGUGCUGUUGGGGGUACUGGAAACACUGACGUAAAUGAACUGUUUUUAAAUGUGUGCGAGUUACGCCUUUUGUGUUAAAAUGAUGUUAUGUUUUUUUGGUUGCACCUAGACUCAAUGAACAAUGCACACUGCUGUUGGUUGUAAUGUAAAACUGCUUGUUAAUUCCAUUAAAAUUUCUACAUCUCACUA